AUGAACGCUGGCGGCGUGCCUAAUCCAUGCAAGUCGAGCGAACAGACGAGGAGCUUGCUCCUCUGACGUUAGCGGCGGACGGGUGAGUAACACGUGGAUAACCUACCUAUAAGACUGGGAUAACUUCGGGAAACCGGAGCUAAUACCGGAUAAUAUAUUGAACCGCAUGGUUCAAUAGUGAAAGACGGUUUUGCUGUCACUUAUAGAUGGAUCCGCGCCGCAUUAGCUAGUUGGUAAGGUAACGGCUUACCAAGGCAACGAUGCGUAGCCGACCUGAGAGGGUGAUCGGCCACACUGGAACUGAGACACGGUCCAGACUCCUACGGGAGGCAGCAGUAGGGAAUCUUCCGCAAUGGGCGAAAGCUUGACGGAGCAACGCCGCGUGAGUGAUGAAGGUCUUCGGAUCGUAAAACUCUGUUAUUAGGGAAGAACAAAUGUGUAAGUAACUAUGCACGUCUUGACGGUACCUAAUCAGAAAGCCACGGCUAACUACGU
RNAcentral lists this ribosomal RNA (495 nucleotides) under uncultured bacterium. RNAcentral describes it as "partial 16S ribosomal RNA". It matches the Rfam family "Bacterial small subunit ribosomal RNA", at positions 29 to 506 of the family's 1533-position model. The record is from RNAcentral.